Molecule: transfer RNA, 85 nt
Filed under: Minisyncoccota bacterium
Lineage: Bacteria; Bacillati; Minisyncoccota
Description: tRNA-Leu
Rfam family: tRNA
About the family: Transfer RNA (tRNA) molecules are approximately 80 nucleotides in length. Their secondary structure includes four short double-helical elements and three loops (D, anti-codon, and T loops).
Source: RNAcentral
GCCCAGGUGGCGAAAUUGGUAGACGCGUACGCUUGAGGGGCGUAUGGAGCAAUCCAUGGAGGUUCAAGUCCUCUCCUGGGCACCA